UCACUGAAUGGACCAGUGUUAUUGAUCAGAAAAAGGUUUCCUUACUUAUUAAGUACUUUCUUUGUUCAACAGAUUGGUUAGUGAGCUUCUGUGCAGAAAAAGGGAAACACUGACCGAAGAAGUUGUCUUGUGAUGAAAUAGCACGAUUCAGUGACUGAUGAUGGCACGGAGAACUAAAAAGCUUGUAAAAGAUGUAUCCUGCUCAGUGCUUGAAUUUCAGUGAUUGAUUCUAAACUACUGAGUGCUUAACCCUGGCAGAAGAGCAGGACAAGUCCCAUGUGACAUUCAGAUAACAUCUGCAGCUUAUCUGGAAGUCUCACAAGAAAGAGAAGAAAAAACCCUAGCACGUUUCCUGUUCUGCAAAGACCAAAUGUACUCCCAAGAGAACCCAGCUUUGCUGGAAAGGUACUGCAAUUACAAGUGUCAAUUCACAUUCUCAGUGCACGUUUUCUUAAGCAGUUUUGCAA
RNAcentral lists this long non-coding RNA (467 nucleotides) under Coturnix japonica (Japanese quail). RNAcentral describes it as "lncRNA (ENSCJPG00005010618.1)". Lineage: Eukaryota; Metazoa; Chordata; Aves; Galliformes; Phasianidae. The record is from RNAcentral.